UCCCUGCCUAAAAAAUCUCAGUGAAUUCACCCUGUACACAAAAACAGUCAACUCCUUGGCACAGCAUACAAAGUUUCCAAGGUCUGAUGCUAACCAACAUGGCCAGCUUGUUCCCAUUCCAAACUUCCCCUCAUAGUCUAGGAUCAAGUCAAAACAAAAUACAUGCUGUAACCUGUACAUUCCCAUCAUUGGAACUCUUAUUGUCUUUGAAGGAACUGUAACCCUUUAUUGAGGUUAUUUCCUUAUUGGUCUUCCUUAACAUUCCCAUCCCCCAACUUCAUCUGUUUACAAGUUAUUGUCUAUUACAAGAGGCUAUCUAGAGUCCCAGGUCCUCCAGGAAUUAUCUGCCAGAGACAUCAGAAUAUAUUGCCUUUUUUCACUGGGGUUUCCUGUCUGGUAGGAUGCAGGUCUUGAACAUCCUGGUAACCAUUUUGGCUGCCAUGUCAUAAAAUCUAGCCUGACCCAAUGGUAUAGUAGAGAUUGCUAUUUAUAUAGUAUCUUUCCUCAGCAUUCUAUAGGAAGGAAUAUGUAAAGUGUAACUCAAUACAUGUAGACCCAGAGUAAAGACUACCUCUCCCAGGCACUCUUGCAGUUAGGUGUGGCUAUGUGGUGAAGACCUGGCCAGUGUCAUGUGACUGGAAGUGAUGUACACAAUUUCCCUAACAGGGAAGGGGUGUGUCCUUCCCUUCCCCUCUUCCUUAUAGCUGGCAUAUGGACACGAGCGUGAAACAGUCUGGGCCAUUGGACCAGGACAAAACUCUAGGGAUAGAAGAAUGGGAAAACAGCCUGCUCUCAGGUGACUUUCUAGAUGAGGGACAACAUAACAGAUUGGACUUAUAUGGAGAAUCUUCUAUCUUAAUGAAACUGUAGGGUCUCCACAUACAUACAACCACACACAGAUCAUAAUUAAUGUACAAACUGAGAGGAAAACAUCACCUUAUGAUAUAUUCUCUAUACAAAGAAAGCCAUAAGGACAUGGAGACUCUGACCAGACUGUGUCUUGAAGUGAGUCAUUGCUAUUUGCUGGUUACUCUAGAAUUAGGGUCUCUCCCCUGCCUCCCUUCUAUAUUCCUAAGAUAUGGUGGUAUCAAGCAGCUAAAAUUGCUUUGGAGGUGACUGUAAAUGGUUGAUUCCAUUGAAGAGGUGACUGUCCGGAGUAGGAACGGUUACUGAGAAAAUAUGUUAAAACAGAGGAAAUGGUAUGCAACAAUGUCUGUUCUUUACACUCCCUGUAUCUUAGACCAUGGUUAGUCCAUAGGUUAAAGAAACAAGGAAUUGGCAGCUGAUGGAAUAGACAUCGGUGACAGAAUGGCCGAGAUAAGGAAAGGGCGUGAAACCUAUUGCCUAUCUGGUACUGUAAGACUUGGCAGCUUC
This 1374-nucleotide long non-coding RNA is filed under the name Canis lupus familiaris (dog). RNAcentral's name for it is "lncRNA (ENSCAFG00000055724.1)". Lineage: Eukaryota; Metazoa; Chordata; Mammalia; Carnivora; Canidae. The record is from RNAcentral.